UCAUUCAGCACUUGCGGGGUCUCCCAAAGUCCAGCUGUUUCUCUGCUUUUACCAAGUUGUGCCAUCUCCCUUAGGAACACCCUGUUCAUCUUCCUGCCCAUUUUUCGCUUAUUUGGGGGAUACCUUGUUUUUUUAAAUAAAAAGUCAAGUAACUUUGGGAACCCUAUGCUCACAAUUUCCAUCGGGAGUUUCCGUGCCCGGAACCCGGGGAAAGGGCCGGGGGCAGAGGAGGAGGGCCGCGGGAGCUGGCCGAGUGGCGUUGACGUGGGCCACCAGCAGAUGGUGCCUCAGGCUAAUUAAGGAGGCGGCCGGCCGCUCACUGAGCCCGAGUAAUGGCUCGCCUGCUCCUGCACUUCCACAAAGCGGGAGAAGGGAUCAAGUUGAUCAGAAAACUACUUGGCCGGAGGAUGCCCAGAGACCCUCGUUAAGACCCACACAAUGGAAAGUGGCCCGAGCCUCGUAAAGCAGAGGAAGAAAAUGGCAAGACGGCUGAUGGAGAGAGAGGCAAGUUUAAAAUCGCACAUCAGGGGCAGCUAGAUGGCACAGUGGAUAGAGCACCAGCCCCAAAGUCAGGAGGACCCGAGUUCAAAUCCGACCUCAGACACUUAAUACUUCCUACCUGUGCGACUCCAAGCAAGUCACUUAACCCCGAUUGUCUCAAUAUAAAUAAAAAAAAAAAAAUCACA
This is a long non-coding RNA of Antechinus flavipes (yellow-footed antechinus), 686 nucleotides long. RefSeq lists it as uncharacterized. The record is from RefSeq and is a predicted model, not a curated record. The transcript is spliced from 2 exons. Lineage: Eukaryota; Metazoa; Chordata; Mammalia; Dasyuromorphia; Dasyuridae.